ACUUGAGCAGCAUAUAUAUACUAAAUUUGGAAUAAUAUGGAGAAGAUUAGCAUGGUCCUGUGCCAAGGAUAAUAAGCAAGUUUGUGACAUGUCCCACAUACUC
Small nuclear RNA from Manis pentadactyla (Chinese pangolin), 103 nucleotides. Lineage: Eukaryota; Metazoa; Chordata; Mammalia; Pholidota; Manidae. The record is from RefSeq and is a predicted model, not a curated record.